This 253-nucleotide ribosomal RNA is filed under the name uncultured bacterium. Its description in RNAcentral is "partial 16S ribosomal RNA". It matches the Rfam family "Bacterial small subunit ribosomal RNA", at positions 524 to 776 of the family's 1533-position model. The record is from RNAcentral.
GACGGAGGGGGCUAGCGUUGUUCGGAAUUACUGGGCGUAAAGGGCGCGUAGGCGGCUCUUCAAGUUAGACGUGAAAGCCCUGGGCUUAACCUAGGAAUAGCGUUUAAUACUGGAGGGCUAGAGAUCGGUAGAGGGAAAUGGAAUUCCUAGUGUAGAGGUGAAAUUCGUAGAUAUUAGGAAGAACACCAGAGGCGAAGGCGGUUUCCUGGGCCGAUACUGACGCUGAGGCGCGAAAGCGUGGGGAGCAAACAGG